GCACCUUUAGCUCAGUCGGUAGAGCAACUGACUCUUAAUCAGUGGGUCCCGGGUUCAAAUCCCUGAAGGUGCACCA
This 76-nucleotide transfer RNA is filed under the name Firmicutes bacterium HGW-Firmicutes-21. RNAcentral describes it as "tRNA-Lys". It matches the Rfam family "tRNA". From Rfam's summary of the family: Transfer RNA (tRNA) molecules are approximately 80 nucleotides in length. The record is from RNAcentral. Lineage: Bacteria; Bacillati; Bacillota.